Molecule: ribosomal RNA, 700 nt
Filed under: Staphylococcus sp.
Lineage: Bacteria; Bacillati; Bacillota; Bacilli; Caryophanales; Staphylococcaceae
Description: bacterial SSU rRNA
Rfam family: Bacterial small subunit ribosomal RNA
Source: RNAcentral
CAGUCGAGCGAACAGAUAAGGAGCUUGCUCCUUUGACGUUAGCGGCGGACGGGUGAGUAACACGUGGAUAACCUACCUAUAAGACUGGGAUAACUUCGGGAAACCGGAGCUAAUACCGGAUAAGAUUUUGAACCGCAUGGUUCAAUAGUGAAAGACGGCCUUGCUGUCACUUAUAGAUGGAUCCGCGCCGUAUUAGCUAGUUGGUAAGGUAACGGCUUACCAAGGCAACGAUACGUAGCCGACCUGAGAGGGUGAUCGGCCACACUGGAACUGAGACACGGUCCAGACUCCUACGGGAGGCAGCAGUAGGGAAUCUUCCGCAAUGGGCGAAAGCCUGACGGAGCAACGCCGCGUGAGUGAUGAAGGUCUUCGGAUCGUAAAACUCUGUUAUCAGGGAAGAACAAACGUGUAAGUAACUGUGCACGUCUUGACGGUACCUGAUCAGAAAGCCACGGCUAACUACGUGCCAGCAGCCGCGGUAAUACGUAGGUGGCAAGCGUUAUCCGGAAUUAUUGGGCGUAAAGCGCGCGUAGGCGGUUUUUUAAGUCUGAUGUGAAAGCCCACGGCUCAACCGUGGAGGGUCAUUGGAAACUGGAAAACUUGAGUGCAGAAGAGGAAAGUGGAAUUCCAUGUGUAGCGGUGAAAUGCGCAGAGAUAUGGAGGAACACCAGUGGGCGAAAGCGACUUUCUGGGUCUGUAA